This 253-nucleotide ribosomal RNA is filed under the name uncultured bacterium. RNAcentral's name for it is "partial 16S ribosomal RNA". It matches the Rfam family "Bacterial small subunit ribosomal RNA", at positions 524 to 776 of the family's 1533-position model. RNAcentral also lists the same sequence under 1 other name. The record is from RNAcentral.
GACGUAGGAUGCAAGCGUUGUCCGGAAUUAUUGGGCGUAAAGAGUUCGUAGGCGGUUACUUAAGUCUGGUGUUAAAUACUGGCGCUCAACGUCAGCAUGGCAUUGGAAACUGGGUGGCUAGAGUGUGGCAGAGGUCAAGGGAAUUCCAGGUGUAGCGGUGAAAUGCGUAGAUAUCUGGAGGAACACCGGUGGCGAAAGCGCUUGACUGGGCCAUAACUGACGCUGAGGAACGAAAGCUAGGGGAGCAAAAGGG